UACGUAUGGGGCAAGCGUUAUCCGGAUUUACUGGGCGUAAAGGAUGCGUAGGCGGUUAAACAAGUUAUAUGUUAAAUAUAUAGGCUUAACCUGUAGAAAGCAUAUAAAACUGUUUAACUAGAGUGCAGGAGAGGUAAGUGGAAUUCCUAGUGUAGCGGUGAAAUGCGUAGAGAUUAGGAAGAACACCAGUGGCGAAGGCGACUUACUGGACUGUAACUGACGUUGAGGCUCGAAGGCGUGGGGAGCAAACAGG
This 253-nucleotide ribosomal RNA is filed under the name uncultured Candidatus Neoarthromitus sp. RNAcentral describes it as "uncultured Candidatus Arthromitus sp. partial 16S ribosomal RNA". It matches the Rfam family "Bacterial small subunit ribosomal RNA", at positions 524 to 776 of the family's 1533-position model. Lineage: Bacteria; Bacillati; Bacillota; Clostridia; Eubacteriales; Clostridiaceae. The record is from RNAcentral.